AGGCUAUCUUCAAAAUUAAAAUUGAUAUAUUUUGACAUUCUGUUAAACACAGUCAACAUUAACUUGUUUUUCUAAUAUGUAUUUAUUUUAUUUAAUUCAAUCUGUUGUUUGGUUUCUUUACAUUGUCAACUGUAACGACAUUAUGAAACAUAAAUUAUCCCCUUUUCUCUUUAUUGACACAAAUGAACAACCUCAGCCUAAAAACUAUGAUAAAGGAGACCAUUUGGACUUUCCAAUACUUGUCCAUUCUGUACCUGCUCUAUGAUUGACAAUUAUAUGGUUGUUGUCGUUUAUUAAUUGGGUGCACUAAAAAUUAAAUUAUAUACCUAUAAGUAGUAGGGUGUGAUCAGUUUUAUGCACCUCAAAAAUGCAGGGCGAGAGGGCGCUGACGUCAUAUGCCCAUGCCCCGCCCCCAAUAUUAUAUAUGGGCAUAUACUAACCCUAAUGACGUCAGCGGAAGUAAGGAAGAUGAUUCAGGACGGAUGGACGCCGGUCAGAUUUGGUCAUGACGCAACCAUGAGUCAUCAGGAUCCAAGAUCGGGGCACGACUCACUACAUGAGUAAUCAGGAUGCAAGAUCAGGGCAUGACUCACUACAUGACAAUACCAUGAUGUACGUAUGAAAAUUCGAGAAGUAUUUUUUCUGUUCGUUAUGAUAUUUAUUUUUUAAUCUAAAUAGUCAGGGGAAAAAGUACUGUUCGAAGUUACACCCUUGUUUGUUUUCGUCGGAGGUAUUGCCCAGAGAUGACCUUUUACAGUGCAAU
Molecule: long non-coding RNA, 763 nt
Filed under: Mytilus galloprovincialis (Mediterranean mussel)
Lineage: Eukaryota; Metazoa; Mollusca; Bivalvia; Mytilida; Mytilidae
Source: RNAcentral